Molecule: small RNA, 133 nt
Filed under: human gut metagenome
Description: Clostridiales-1 RNA
Rfam family: Clostridiales-1 RNA
Source: RNAcentral
GAUACCAGGGUCAAAAGGUCUAAGCCCACGUGAGCUUGCUCAUAAGUGGGUGAAAGACCUUAGGACCCGCCCCGAUAUGCGAAUAUUGGGCAGGAUUGUGGGAGUGCGUAGCACGAAGCAAUCCGUAGGUAUC